GUUGACAGAUGUUUACUCUGCAACCAGAAGGCCACAGACACUGAAGACAUGAGGAACACAAGCUGUGCUGACUGAUCACAGAGCCACAUUAGCAUUUAUGCAUCAUCAUCAUAGCAUUAUCCACAUGUAUUACAUAUUUUAUAAUAAAAAGUGUCUUCCGUCGUGUGGAAAUUUUAACUAAAUAAGAGAAGACUUCACCAGAAGGAUGCCUCCAUAUGAAAAAUGUCACAUCCGAGUUGAUGUGAUUUACUCAAAUAUUCUUCCAACUUAACUUGUUCUUUAGAAAAAUACUGUUUUUUUCCUUCAAACUAGCGACUGUGCAACUGACACUAUCUGGGAGAGAUUUGGAAUCUCAAAUCCUUCUCAUCAGACAUGAGAGUUUAAAGUGGAGGAGAAAGUCACCGUGUGUUUCUCCUGCUGAGGUGUCCUUCAGGUGACCCUGGACCUUCUCCUGGCUGCUGGCUGAUUCCUGCUCCAACGGAUUUGUUUUGUAUUCUUUCAGAAAGCUGAUGUGAGCUUCAAUGAAAGUCAUGACUUUAUCCAUUUGGGUCUUCACGUCCAUCAGGAGGCAGAGGUAAUCAACCAAGACCCCAUUGUUAGUUAGAGCAGCUGGAGGGGAAGAGCCAGGUUUUGUGUUAGAAUCUGAAUGACGGAAUAAAAGUACAGAUGUGCACCAUUUGCAUCUGGAUGGGGGACAAUUAUCGAGCAAAACCUUCAUCACCACAGACUGCAGACGAAGGUUAUGUUUAGUCUUCAACAAGCCAACAUGGAAAAGAUACUUUAAAAAGGAGAGAAGUAAGCAUCUUAAAGAAAGACUGACAGCUAACUGAGGAGAGUCGGUAAGAACCAGCAGCAACGCGUCCUAGAAACAGCCUCGAAAACGCCGCAUUAAUUGAUUGAUGCGCGUACGGACAAAUGUCAGCUUCAGUGCAAUGUCCAUGUUUUCUAUUUAGUUAGGUAAUAACAAAUGGGAAAGAAAAUGAUAAUGUUGAAUCUUUACUAAAGUUAUUCUAAUUUGGGUGACAAAUGGCACAAUGUGGGAAAAUGAUCCCAGAAAAGGGGGACGUUUGUUCCUUGUAUAAUAUUAACAAAGUCACAUAUAUUGCAUAUAUUGUUAUAGUCCAAAUAAACAAAAUGUCUGUCACAGGGGAAAGUGAAAGUAGGCCCCUGCAUACCUGUCAAAGACGCCUCUGGGAUGAACCCCCUCAGCUUCUUUAGGAUCUGACCAAUUGGCUGUGGAAACAGACAGAAUACGUUUUACAAACUAUCAGUAAUCUGUGUUCUAGUCCCUCUCUCAUCCCACUUGUUAGCUCACCUGGCUGUGGAUUAGGUCAUAAAUGGCCCUUCUGCGUUUAAUAUUCUUAAUUCCUGGAAGCAGGUCGCGCAGGUCGUCUUCAGUCAGGGCCUGAAUGUCUGAGUCACUUUGUAAACCAGCGUCUGCAACAACGACACAGAAUGACUAAAGAUGGAAACUCAACAUUUAAACGUGAGCUCAACAGUCAUCUUAUAAAAGUGAAACAACAAACUGUUUUUAUUAUCUAAUCCUCGUCAAUAAACAAAAGGUCACUAACUCAUCAACUCAUCAGCUGCUGGUUUGUCGAUGCGUUUUAUUUCCUUCAGUAAACCCGACAUGACUUCACCUGUAAAGCGGAAUAAAAGCAGCAUUUAUUAUUCUAUUAUUCUGGUAGGUCGUCUUUUCUCUCGUCCGUGUGACAUAUUGGUGAAAGAUCGGGAUACAAACCAGCUGUGUAGACGAGUCAAACCAAAGGAAGCGAUCGAUCACACGACGGAGGAUCGACUCGAUUAAUUGGUUGAUCUCCUUUAACCGUUAAGAGUUAGCUGUCAAUCAUCCAACCAAAGCAAAAAUCAGAAAUCUGUGCUGUAUUCCUACUCCAAGCUGGUCUUCACAGCAACCCCGAUUUACAGUAAAACGAAAGUGAAACUGCGAGUGACGGUUGUUUUUCUCACUUGUCGUUACAGUUUCAACAUGUUGCGUUUCCGCCAUCUGCUGGAUUCAAGCUGAACUCCUGUCACUGAAUCAGAGGAUCCACAGUGCAGCCAGCAGGGGGCAGCACGCGGCAGCUUCCAUAGGCGGCCUGCAGCAUCUCCACCUGCACACGUCACACA
Long non-coding RNA from Gasterosteus aculeatus aculeatus (three-spined stickleback), 2127 nucleotides. The record is from Ensembl. NCBI's taxonomy places the organism in Eukaryota, Metazoa, Chordata, Actinopteri, Perciformes, Gasterosteidae.